CGGGCCUGUAGCUCAGUUGGUUAGAGCACU
Molecule: transfer RNA, 30 nt
Filed under: Treponema parvum
Lineage: Bacteria; Pseudomonadati; Spirochaetota; Spirochaetia; Treponematales; Treponemataceae
Description: partial tRNA-Ile
Source: RNAcentral